AACAGGACAUGCUGAAGUGAUUCCUUCAUGAGCAGAUGUUAGAGGUCUCCUUUUGACAGCUUGUUACAAAAUUGAUCACAAAUAUACUAUUAGGUAUAUAUUGGGUGAAGGAGCAUUAUGUAUGGAACCUCUCACAAAACAGCUCCUACUUUCAAGAAUGAAAAAGGGCUGAAGCAGUGCCUACUCCAUAGAAUCAGUCAUCAUGCAAAUAAAUGCCACCUGAGUCAAAGGCAAAGCCAAAGUGCAGCUUGGAGCAAAGAAGGUACUUCUAUUAAGAAUUUUACAUAAACCGUAAGAUACAUUUUAUAUUACUUUGUGAGCCUACUUCCUGUCUUAAUUCUUUCUGAGAGAAUUCAUUUCAUUUUCAUUUGGUUUGUUUUCUCUUUGUUACAAAGAUGAUCUAUAGAAAAUAUAGAAGUAUAAGAAAAUUAAAGACACUGACUAAUAAUCACUUAAUGAUUUAGUAUCUGAUUGUUUAGUCUUUGUUAUAUUUACUAUAGAUAAACAUGUCUACAGUUGUAAAUUUAUUAUUGGUAUGUAUACCCUAGUAAAAGUUAUAUGUACUUUGAAGUUUUGCAAAAUUGUGUUCAUGUUAUAGAA
Papio anubis (olive baboon) is the source of this 600-nucleotide long non-coding RNA. NCBI's taxonomy places the organism in Eukaryota, Metazoa, Chordata, Mammalia, Primates, Cercopithecidae. The record is from Ensembl.